RNAcentral lists this non-coding RNA (45 nucleotides) under Trichobilharzia regenti. Lineage: Eukaryota; Metazoa; Platyhelminthes; Trematoda; Strigeidida; Schistosomatidae. The record is from RNAcentral.
ACUCAGGUGACGAGUCCCAAAUAGGACGAAAUGCGCAUCCUGGAU